CGAAAAGCCGUGGGGGAGCAAAACAGGAUUUAGAUACCAGGGUAGUCACGCAGUAAAACGAUGUCGACUUGGAGGGUUGUUUCCCCUUGAGGAGUGGCUUCCGGAGCUAACGCGUUAAAGUCGACCCGCCUGGGGAGUACGGCCGCAAGGUUAAAACUCAAAUGAAAUAGACGAGGGGCCCGCACAAGCGGUGGAGCAUGUGGUUUAAUUCGAUGCAACGCGAAGAACCUUACCUACUCUUGACAUAACAGAGAACUUAGCAGAGAUGGAUUGGUGCCUUCGGGAACUCUGAGACAGGUGCUGCAUGGCUGUCGUCAGCUCGUGUUGUGAAAUGUUGGGUUAAGUCCCGCAACGAGCGCAACCCUUAUCCUUUGUUGCCAGCGAUUCGGUCGGGAACUCAAAGGAGACUGCCGGUGAUAAACCGGAGGAAGGUGGGGAUGACGUCAAGUCAUCAUGGCCCUUACGAGUAGGGCUACACACGUGCUACAAUGGCGCAUACAAAGAGAAGCGACCUCGCGAGAGCAAGCGGACCUCACAAAGUGCGUCGUAGUCCGGAUCGGAGUCUGCAACUCGACUCCGUGAAGUCGGAAUCGCUAGUAAUCGUGGAUCAGAAUGCCACGGUGAAUACGUUCCCGGGCCUUGUACACACCGCCCGUCACACCAUGGGAGUGGGUUGCAAAAGAAGUAGGAUGAGUUAGACCUCCGCUACAGACUGCAAUCUAGCUGUCCGCA
Molecule: ribosomal RNA, 732 nt
Filed under: Pantoea ananatis
Lineage: Bacteria; Pseudomonadati; Pseudomonadota; Gammaproteobacteria; Enterobacterales; Erwiniaceae
Description: bacterial SSU rRNA
Rfam family: Bacterial small subunit ribosomal RNA
Source: RNAcentral